Molecule: non-coding RNA, 1011 nt
Organism: Paramisgurnus dabryanus
Lineage: Eukaryota; Metazoa; Chordata; Actinopteri; Cypriniformes; Cobitidae
Source: RefSeq, a predicted model, not a curated record
AUUAGCACCAGCAUCCCAUGCUGGUCAUACCAGCAUAUGUUGUGUUUUGGUGCUGGUAUGCUGGUGACCACCAGCAUAGACCAGCAUAAUUCCCAUGCUGGUUUGAUGCUGUUUUUUUCAGCAGGGUUAUCAACAUUAGGGUAACUUAACGUGGUCAUUGCUUUAUUGUGUGAGCUUAAUAUAGUCUAAAGUUUUAAUAUUUGUCUUAUAAUAUUUGUAAGAAAAUAGGAAUCCCCACUAUUGGGGUACACUAUUUAAGCCUUAUAUUAGAGCUAAUUUACAUUACAUAAUAAACAUUUUCUGUUCUCCCUGCAGAUCCUGUCAAUCGAAUCACCUGUUACAACUUAGAUUUAUUUUAUAAACCCAAAGGCACUUUUAAGAGCCAUUGUUUACUACACAAAGCCAUAGUUCACUGACAAGCUGGGCCAUAUCGCAUACAUAUCGCAGGCGAUAAUUAAUGCGAAAUUGCCCCGGUUGUCAGGUAACUAUGGCUUUGUGUAGUAAAUGCUGCUCCAUCUCAAAGCAGGUGAUGUUGGUGUACUACUAAUCAAAGAACCGGCUUUACUGACGAGAUGCGCAUGACAAUCACGUGUGAUUUAUCGUGCAGCCCUGCUUGACAAACUCCAUGCUACUGGAUACAAGCCAGUUCUGCUUCGUUAAAAGGAGACCAAGAAGCAAAAUAUUAAGUGUGAGAGAUUAUCGCCUAUGCCCAGGACUACCUUCAGAAGAUCGGUUCCUUUUAUGAAUACCUUUGUGAAGGCUCACAGCACUACCCUUGUAAUGACUGAACGAUCAUCUGGGAUGUCCACAUAGAGAGAGAGGUUAGAAUUGUGAUUGUAUAUCAGUAUUUUUGUUUGUUUCCUCAGCAUCUGAUAGAGCUUUUGGACCCGGAAGCGGUGCUGUGUGAUGUCAGAAAAACAAGCGGAUGGGAUUUGGUACCCAUAGUUAACUUGGUUCAAGCAUACCUGAAUACAUACUAUGUUAACUUAGGAAUUAUUAUGUUUGGAAUGU